GUUUGUUUUGUCAUAGUUAUAGUUAGUUUUGUGGCUAUCAAGUUUUUGGCACCGUUGUCGGCGAGUGAAAUAUUAGGAACACUUGAUUUUUAUUAAUUUAGUCAUUUUUUAUUUUAUUUUAUUUUAUUUUAUAUUUUUUUGUUUUAGUUUAAUUAUUCCAUUCUAAUUUUUCUUUUGUUUGUUUCUAGCAGGUUCUUUUGGGUUAUGACUA
This 211-nucleotide long non-coding RNA is filed under the name Gossypium raimondii (Peruvian cotton). RNAcentral's name for it is "long non-coding RNA (GRAI_LNC001341)". The record is from RNAcentral. Lineage: Eukaryota; Viridiplantae; Streptophyta; Magnoliopsida; Malvales; Malvaceae.